GACGAACGCUGGCGGCGUGCUUAACACAUGCAAGUCGAACGGAAAGGCGCUGCUUUUGUGGGUCGCUCGAGUGGCGAACGGGUGAGUAUCACGUGAGUAACCUGUCCUUGUCUUUGGGAUAACUUCAGGAAACUGGGGCUCAUACCGGAUAGGAGCUCCUGCAGCAUGGGGGGGAUUGGAAAGUUUCGGCGGUUGUGGAUGGACUCGCUGCUUAUCGGCUUGUUUGUGUGGUAGUGGCUUACCAAGGCUUUGACGGGUAGCCGGCCUGAGAGGGUUACCGGCGACAUUGGGACUGAGAUAGGGCCCAGACUCGUACGGGACGCAGCAGUGGGGAAUAUUGCACAAUGGGCGGAAGCCAGAUGCAGCAACGCCGCGUGCGGGAUGACGGCCUUCGGGUGGUAAACCGCUUUCUCCUGUGACGAGGAGUGAGUGACGGUAAUGGGUAAAGAAGCACCGGCUAACUACGUG
RNAcentral lists this ribosomal RNA (468 nucleotides) under uncultured bacterium. RNAcentral's name for it is "partial 16S ribosomal RNA". It matches the Rfam family "Bacterial small subunit ribosomal RNA", at positions 28 to 507 of the family's 1533-position model. The record is from RNAcentral.